RNAcentral lists this ribosomal RNA (301 nucleotides) under uncultured bacterium. Its description in RNAcentral is "partial 16S ribosomal RNA". It matches the Rfam family "Bacterial small subunit ribosomal RNA", at positions 509 to 807 of the family's 1533-position model. The record is from RNAcentral.
CAGUAGCCGCGGGAAAACGUAGGGUGCAAGCGUUAUCCGGAAUUAUUGGGCGUAAAGAGCUCGUAGGCGGUUUGUCGCGUCUGCCGUGAAAGUCCGGGGCUCAACCCCGGAUCUGCGGUGGGUACGGGCAGACUAGAGUGAUGUAGGGGAGACUGGAAUUCCUGGUGUAGCGGUGAAAUGCGCAGAUAUCAGGAGGAACACCGAUGGCGAAGGCAGGUCUCUGGGCAUUAACUGACGCUGAGGAGCGAAAACAUGGGGAGCGAACAGGAUUAGAUACCCCCGUAGUCCCUGUCUCUUAUAC